RNAcentral lists this ribosomal RNA (1377 nucleotides) under Anomala parvaeucoma. RNAcentral's name for it is "eukaryotic LSU rRNA". It matches the Rfam family "Eukaryotic large subunit ribosomal RNA", at positions 666 to 1862 of the family's 3401-position model. The record is from RNAcentral. Lineage: Eukaryota; Metazoa; Arthropoda; Insecta; Coleoptera; Scarabaeidae.
CCAAGGAGUCUAGCAUGUGCGCGAGUCAUUGGGACUCUAACGAAACCUAAAGGCGCAAUGAAAGUGAAGGUUCGCCACGCGCGAACCGAGGGAGGAUGGACGGUCGAUCGUGGCCGUCCCGCACUCCCUGGGCGUCUCGUUCUCAUCGCGAGAAGAGGCGCACCAAGAGCGUACACGCUGGGACCCGAAAGAUGGUGAACUAUGCCUGGUCAGGACGAAGUCAGGGGAAACCCUGAUGGAGGUCCGUAGCGAUUCUGACGUGCAAAUCGAUCGUCGGAACUGGGUAUAGGGGCGAAAGACUAAUCGAACCAUCUAGUAGCUGGUUCCCUCCGAAGUUUCCCUCAGGAUAGCUGGCGCUCGCUUCUCGCGAGUCUCAUUCGGUAAAGCGAAUGAUUAGAGGCAUUGGGGUCGAAACGGCCUCAACCUAUUCUCAAACUUUAAAUGGGUGAGAUCUCCGGCUUGCUUGAACUGUGAAGCCGCGAGAUAUCGGAUCAGAGUGCCAAGUGGGCCACUUUUGGUAAGCAGAACUGGCGCUGUGGGAUGAACCAAACGCCGAGUUAAAGCGCCUAAAUCGACGCUUAUGGGAUACCAUGAAAGGCGUUGGUAACUUAAGACAGCAGGACGGUGGCCAUGGAAGUCGGAAUCCGCCAAGGAGUGUGUAACAACUCACCUGCCGAAGUUACUAGCCCUGAAAAUGGAUGGCGCUGAAGCGUCGUGCUUAUACUCUGCCGUCAGCGGCAUGUGAGACGGUCCUUAAGAGGUCGUCAUGAAGCCCUGACGAGUAGGAGGGUCGCGGCGGUGAGCGCAGAAGGACCAGGCGCGAGCCAGUCUGGAGCCGCCGUCGGUGCAGAUCUUGGUGGUAGUAGCAAAUACUCCAGCGAGGCCCUGGAGGACUGACGUGGAGAAGGGUUUCGUGUGAACAGCCGUUGCACACGAGUCAGUCGAUCCUAAGCCAUAGGCGAAAGCCGAUGUCGAUGCGGUGUAUCUUUCAGUGUCUAUAUGCUGCUGCCGCUGCUGCUGCUAUGUAGCUAGCUGCUGCUGCUGUUAAGGCGGAGAGACUCACACCCGUCGGGCGAAAGGGAAUCCGGUUCCUAUUCCGGAACCCGGCAGCGGAACCGUUAUUAAGUCGUGCCCUCAUUCAGAGAGUUCGUCGGGGCAACCCAAAAGGACCUGGACACGCCGUCGGGAGAUCCGGGAAGAGUUUUCUUUUCUGCAUAAGCGCUCGAGUUCCAUGGAAUCCUCUAGCAGGGAGAUAUGGUUUGGAGCGCGAAGAGCACCGCAGUUGCGGCGGUGUCCGGAUCUUCCCCUCGGACCUUGAAAAUCCAGGAGAGGGCCACGUGGAGGCGUCGCGCCGGUUCGUACCCAUAUCCGCAGCAG